UCCGUAGGCGGUGCGGCAAGUCGGAAGUGAAAUCUCAGGGCUUAACCCUGAGGCUGCUUCCGAAACUGCUGUGCUAGAGUGCGAGAGAGGCGAGUGGAAUUGCCGGUGUAGCGGUGAAAUGCGUAGAUAUCGGCAGGAACACCCGAGGCGAAAGCGGCUCGCUGGAUCGCAACUGACGCUGAGGGACGAAAGCUAGGGGAGCAAACAGGAUUAGAUACCCUGGUAGUCCUAGCCCUAAACGAUCAGGACUGGGCGUGGGCCCCGUACGGGGCUCGUGCCGCAGCUAACGCGUUAAGUCCUGCGCCUGGGGAGUACGGUCGCAAGGCUGAA
Molecule: ribosomal RNA, 330 nt
Filed under: uncultured bacterium
Lineage: Bacteria
Description: bacterial SSU rRNA
Rfam family: Bacterial small subunit ribosomal RNA
Source: RNAcentral